ACACAUGCAAGUCGAACGAGAUCCAUGGUGUAGCAAUACACCGGAAGAUCUAGUGGCGAACGGGUGAGGAACACGUGGAGAACCUGCCCCGAACUCUGGGAUAACAGUUGGAAACGACUGCUAAUACCGGAUGCCGUUGUUGGAGUCACAUGGCUCUACAACGAAAGUUUUUCGGUUCGGGAGGGCUUCGCGGCCUAUCAGCUUGUUGGUGAGGUAACGGCUCACCAAGGCAUCGACGGGUAGCUGGUCUGAGAGGAUGAUCAGCCACACUGGGACUGAGACACGGCCCAGACUCCUACGGGAGGCAGCAGUGGGGAAUCUUGCGCAAUGGGCGAAAGCCUGACGCAGCAACGCCGCGUGCGGGAAGAAGGCUUUAGGGUUGUAAACCGCUUUCAGCAGGGAAGAAAAUGACGGUACCUGCAGAAGAAGGUGCGGCCAACUACGUGCCAGCAGCCGCGGUGACACGUAGGCACCAAGCGUUGUCCGGAUUUAUUGGGCGUAAAGAGCUCGUAGGCGGUUCAGUAAGUCGGGUGUGAAAACUCUGGGCUUAACCCAGAGCCGCCACCCGAUACUGCUGUGACUUGAGUCCGGUAGGGGAGCGGGGAAUUCCUGGUGUAGCGGUGAAAUGCGCAGAUAUCAGGAGGAACACCGGUGGCGAAGGCGCCGCUCUGGGCCGAGACUGACGCUGAGGAGCGAAAGCAUGGGUAGCAAACAGGAUUAGAUACCCUGGUAGUCCAUGCCGUAAACGUUGGGCACUAGGUGUGGGCAUCAACCAACGAUGUCCGCGCCGUCGCUAACGCAUUAAGUGCCCCGCCUGGGGAGUACGGUCGCAAGACUAAAACUCAAAGGAAUUGACGG
This 858-nucleotide ribosomal RNA is filed under the name uncultured bacterium. RNAcentral's name for it is "bacterial SSU rRNA". It matches the Rfam family "Bacterial small subunit ribosomal RNA", at positions 51 to 916 of the family's 1533-position model. The record is from RNAcentral.